This 378-nucleotide unclassified non-coding RNA is filed under the name plant metagenome. Its description in RNAcentral is "partial contains 5.8S ribosomal RNA, internal transcribed spacer 2, and large subunit ribosomal RNA". The stretch from base 1 to 105 matches the Rfam family "5.8S ribosomal RNA", at positions 50 to 154 of the family's 154-position model. The record is from RNAcentral.
GAAAUGCGAUAAGUAAUGUGAAUUGCAGAAUUCAGUGAAUCAUCGAAUCUUUGAACGCACCUUGCGCUCCUUGGUAUUCCUUGGAGCAUGCCUGUUUGAGUAUCAUGAAAUCUUCAAAGUAAAUCUUUUGUUAACUCAAUUGGUUUCUACUUUGGUAUUGGAGGUCUUUGCAGCUUCACACCUGCUCCUCUUUGUUCAUUAGCUGGAUCUCAGUGUUAUGCUUGGUUCCACUCGGCGUGAUAAGUUAUCUAUCGCUGAGGACACUGUAAAUGGUGGCCAAGGUAAAUGCAGAUGAACCGCUUCUAAUAGUCCAUUGACUUGGACAAUACUUUUAUGAUCUGAUCUCAAAUCAGGUAGGACUACCCGCUGAACUUAAGC